Molecule: long non-coding RNA, 708 nt
Filed under: Daucus carota (carrot)
Lineage: Eukaryota; Viridiplantae; Streptophyta; Magnoliopsida; Apiales; Apiaceae
Description: long non-coding RNA (DCAR_LNC004568)
Source: RNAcentral
AAAAGUAGAUUGGCUAGUCUCGUUUUGUGGCCUUUGUUACUCGAGUUAUUAAGUCCGUCGGGGGAUUUCAAAACCUAGUGCCCUAAGACCGUUUGGUUUGGGAGUCACUGACCUAAAGUUCGCUACAUGGGUAACAUUGUUUGCCUAAGAAAACGGACAAAAUAAAGUCAAUGCAAAAAAAAAAAGAAAAAAAAAAGAAUAAGAGUUUGUGAAGUUUGGCUAGAUAUUUGUUUCGAUAGAGAUUGGGUCAGUUCAAAAUUGGUUGAAAAAGAGAAAGUGUUCUUAGACAAUUAGGAUCCAUCGAAGGCCUUAAAUUAUUUACACUCCUUGGAUUUCUAGUAAAUUUUUGUGUCGAUGCAAGUAGAUUAGAGACAACUGAAUCUUGAUUAUUAGUAGAUGAGUCUUUAAGUCGUAUUUUCCUUAAAAACGCUUUUUGUUAACACCAACAAAAUUAGAGUAGAGUCGAGUAGACACUUGCUAGAAUGUCUCGAAGAUUUUAUGGGUAUAUCUUCUGUAAACCCUUAGGAGACAAAACUCCUCUUGUAGAGAUCGUCUACGAGUUUAACGGGUUGGUGAACCUAAAAUCACCCGUCACGCCUACGAAAAGGAGCCUAGGAAUCGCAUCUAGUUUUCUUAGUUUAUUUUCUUUUCUUUUGAUUUUUACUCGAGGACGAGCAAAAGAUAGGUAUGGGGAAGUUUGAUUAGUCC